UCCUACGGGAGGCAGCAGUGGGGAAUAUUGCACAAUGGGCGCAAGCCUGAUGCAGCCAUGCCGCGUGUAUGAAGAAGGCCUUCGGGUUGUAAAGUACUUUCAGUGGGGAGGAAGGUGUUGUGGUUAAUAACCACAGCAAUUGACGUUACCCGCAGAAGAAGCACCGGCUAACUCCGUGCCAGCAGCCGCGGUAAUA
This 196-nucleotide ribosomal RNA is filed under the name uncultured bacterium. RNAcentral's name for it is "partial 16S ribosomal RNA". It matches the Rfam family "Bacterial small subunit ribosomal RNA", at positions 337 to 525 of the family's 1533-position model. The record is from RNAcentral.